Molecule: ribosomal RNA, 254 nt
Filed under: uncultured bacterium
Lineage: Bacteria
Description: partial 16S ribosomal RNA
Rfam family: Bacterial small subunit ribosomal RNA
Source: RNAcentral
UACAGAGGAGCCAAGCGUUGUCCGGAUUGACUGGGCGUAAAGCGCACGCAGGCGGAUGCGCGCGUGGGGUGUGAAAUCUGGCCGCUUAACGGCCAGGCGCCAUCCCAUACGGCGCGUCUGGAGUGAUGCAGAGGUCGGUGGAAUUGCCGGUGUAGUGGUGAAAUGCGUAGAGAUCGGCAGGAACACCCAGGGGGAAACCAGCCGACUGGGCAUCUACGUGACGCUCAUGCACGAAAGCGUGGGGAGCAAACAGG